RNAcentral lists this ribosomal RNA (254 nucleotides) under uncultured bacterium. RNAcentral describes it as "partial 16S ribosomal RNA". It matches the Rfam family "Bacterial small subunit ribosomal RNA", at positions 524 to 776 of the family's 1533-position model. The record is from RNAcentral.
UACGUAGGGGGCAAGCGUUGUCCGAAGUUACUGGGCGUAAAGCGCACGUAGGCGGUUAUCUAAGUCUGGGGUGAAAGGUUCAGUGCUUAACGCGAACAGUGCCUUGGAGACUGGAUGACUUGAGUUUGGGAGAGGGUAGUGGAAUGGCUGGUGUAGCGGUGAAAUGCGUAGAUAUCAGUCGGAACACCAAUGGCGAAGGCAGCUACCUGGCCUAAAACUGACGCUGAGGUGCGAAAGCGUGGGGAGCGAACGGG